CCGGGACGCCCAGCGCGGGCGCGCAGCAGGGGGAAGGGAAGCGCGGCUCGGUCGGCACGGGUGGAGAGGGCGUGAGGCCGCCCUACGGUGGCCGUCGAGGGACGGCGCUACGGCUCCCACGCUGGGCCAAACGCCUCCGGCGGCCGCGCCCGGGAGCCCCUUCACCUGCAGGGUGACCCCAGCCGGGGACGCGUGAACCACGCCCUCAGCCGCCCUGCCGGCGCCCCCAGCCGCGCGCCCCGGCACCAUGCGGCCGCCCUGCGCACGGAGCCCCGAGGGACAGGGGCACCUGCAGGCCCGGCCCCUAGCACCGCCGGCCGGCCCCGAGGUCCGGGACGCCGGCGCCGCCGCCGCGGAGAGGGCACCGGGCCGACGCCUCCCCCCAGGCUCAGCUGCGGGCUUCCAGGCCUAGGCGCCCAUGAACCCUACGCUGACCGCCGCCUGGACACCGCCGCCGCCGCCACUGCGAGCUAGCGCUGCCGCCGCCGGGGCCCAAUGCCGGUCAUGCCCAUUCCGCGGCGGGUGCGCUCCUUCCACGGCCCGCACACCACCUGCCUGCAUGCGGCCUGCGGGCCCGUGCGCGCCUCCCACCUGGCCCGCACCAAGUACAACAACUUCGACGUGUACAUCAAGACGCGCUGGCUGUACGGCUUCAUCCGCUUCCUACUCUACUUCAGCUGCAGCCUGUUCACUGCGGCGCUCUGGGGUGCGCUGGCCGCCCUCUUCUGCCUACAGUACCUGGGCGUUCGGGUCCUGCUGCGCUUCCAGCGCAAGCUGUCGGUGCUGCUGUUGCUGCUGGGCCGCCGGCGCGUGGACUUCCGCCUGGUGAACGAGCUGCUCAUCUACGGCAUCCACGUCACCAUGCUGCUGGUCGGGGGCCUGGGCUGGUGCUUCAUGGUCUUCGUGGACAUGUGAGGGCCGUGGGCGCGAGCUUGAUGUAUCGUCCGGGCCUGUGGCUGUGUUCUCUCCAUGGGUGGGGUCGGCCAGCGCCUUCCCUUCCGCCCAUCCCCCAGGCCGUCGCUGCCCGGCGCCCACGGAGAGAAAAGAAAGGCCGCCCCUAGGCUGGCUUCCUGCGCCCACCCUCCCCGUGUGCACUCUCAGGGGCAGCACCCACCUGCCGGUGGCUCCUGCUCACACGUCUUCAGGUCGUACUGCGGGGUGGGCCCUCCGUUCCGCCUCUCUGUGGGCCUCUCUCCAGGACCACAGCUGCCAGGGACUUUAGCCAUCACCUUGGGAGGCCCCAGGACACAGAGGGCUGUGUGCCCAGGAGCAAAUCCGGAGGGGGUGCCCUCCUGGCUGCAUAGCUCCUUCUGCGUGCCCUGGUCCCAGCCCCAGCCAACGGGACACGGAAGGCUCCCGUCGCUGACACACCACACUGCCACAAAGCUGCUUACUCUGCCCUGGGCCGCCUGA
RNAcentral lists this long non-coding RNA (1413 nucleotides) under Pongo abelii (Sumatran orangutan). RNAcentral's name for it is "lncRNA (ENSPPYG00000035616.1)". The record is from RNAcentral. Lineage: Eukaryota; Metazoa; Chordata; Mammalia; Primates; Hominidae.